RNAcentral lists this long non-coding RNA (356 nucleotides) under Astyanax mexicanus (Mexican tetra). Its description in RNAcentral is "lncRNA (ENSAMXG00005001875.1)". Lineage: Eukaryota; Metazoa; Chordata; Actinopteri; Characiformes; Acestrorhamphidae. The record is from RNAcentral.
GAUUUUUAAAAAAUGCUAUUUCUUUUUUCUUACAGACCCAUCACUGUCUGUGCUAAACCAAAUGUGGAAAAGCGGCUUGAUGGUGUUUGUGUCGGUGUGGCUGUUUGAGGUCAUCAUCCUGGUGUCGCUGUUGGUCGGAGGGUUUUACAUCUACACCAGAAUCUACAGGAAGCUGAGAUCAGCUGAGAGUAAGGAAGAGGAGGGUUUGUAGACCAACCUGAACCAAGACGAGGAGGAGAACACCCACACAGUACCAGAGAAACCACCUGACCCGUCCAGUCUGACAAAUCUACAGAAAUCUGAAGUUACCACUGAGGCAAAUAUUCAGAUCUUAAAGAGCAUAUUAUAGUGAAUUU